This 433-nucleotide ribosomal RNA is filed under the name uncultured bacterium. RNAcentral's name for it is "partial 16S ribosomal RNA". It matches the Rfam family "Bacterial small subunit ribosomal RNA", at positions 29 to 507 of the family's 1533-position model. The record is from RNAcentral.
AACGAACGCUGGCGGCAUGCCUAACACAUGCAAGUCGAACGAGACCUUCGGGUCUAGUGGCGCACGGGUGCGUAACGCGUGGGAACCUGCCCUUAGGGUCGGAAUAACUCCCCGAAAGGGGUGCUAAUACCGGAUAAUGUCUUCGGACCAAAGAUCUAUCGCCUUUGGAUGGGGCCGCGUUGGAUUAGCUAGUUGGUAGGGUAAAAGCAUACCAAGGCGACGAUCCAUAGCUGGGCUGAGAGGAUGAUCAGCCACACUGGGACUGAGACACGGCCCAGACUCCUACGGGAGGCAGCAGUGGGGAAUAUUGGACAAUGGGCGAAAGCCUGAUCCAGCAAUGCCGCGUGAGUGAUGAAGGCCUUAGGGUUGUAAAGCGCUUUUACCCGGGAUGAUAAUGACAGUACCGGGAGAAUAAGCCCCGGCUAACUCCGUG